RNAcentral lists this ribosomal RNA (290 nucleotides) under uncultured bacterium. RNAcentral's name for it is "partial 16S ribosomal RNA". It matches the Rfam family "Bacterial small subunit ribosomal RNA", at positions 505 to 796 of the family's 1533-position model. The record is from RNAcentral.
GUGCCAGCCGCCGCGGUAAUACGGAGGGUGCAAGCGUUGUCCGGAAUCACUGGGCGUAAAGGGUGCGUAGGUGGCGAGGUAAGUCGGAUGUGAAAUCUCCAAGCUCAACUUGGAAACUGCAUUCGAUACUGCUUUGCUAGAGGAUUGUAGAGGGCAUUGGAAUUCACGGUGUAGCAGUGAAAUGCGUAGAUAUCGUGAGGAAGACCAGUGGCGAAGGCGAAUGCCUGGGCAAUUCCUGACACUGAGGCACGAAGGCCAGGGGAGCAAACAGGAUUAGAAACCCGGUGUCC